This 86-nucleotide non-coding RNA is filed under the name Paenibacillus larvae subsp. larvae. The record is from RNAcentral. Lineage: Bacteria; Bacillati; Bacillota; Bacilli; Caryophanales; Paenibacillaceae.
UAAAUUUGCUUGUGAAAGCAGACUGAGCGUACAGAAGUCAGCAGACGCCAUAGUACGCAAGAAGUUGCAACGCCUUGCGGAAGGGC